This 494-nucleotide ribosomal RNA is filed under the name uncultured bacterium. Its description in RNAcentral is "bacterial SSU rRNA". It matches the Rfam family "Bacterial small subunit ribosomal RNA", at positions 28 to 510 of the family's 1533-position model. The record is from RNAcentral.
GAUGAACGCUAGCUACAGGCUUAACACAUGCAAGUCGAGGGGCAGCAUGGUCUUAGCUUGCUAAGGCCGAUGGCGACCGGCGCACGGGUGAGUAACACGUAUCCAACCUGCCGUCUACUCUUGGACAGCCUUCUGAAAGGAAGAUUAAUACAAGAUGGCAUCAUGAGUCCACAUGUUCACAUGAUUAAAGGUAUUCCGGUAGACGAUGGGGAUGCGUUCCAUUAGAUAGUAGGCGGGGUAACGGCCCACCUAGUCUUCGAUGGAUAGGGGUUCUGAGAGGAAGGUCCCCCCACAUUGGAACUGAGACACGGUCCAAACUCCUACGGGAGGCAGCAGUGAGGAAUAUUGGUCAAUGGGCGAGAGCCUGAACCAGCCAAGUAGCGUGAAGGAUGACUGCCCUAUGGGUUGUAAACUUCUUUUAUAAAGGAAUAAAGUCGGGUAUGGAUACCCGUUUGCAUGUACUUUAUGAAUAAGGAUCGGCUAACUCCGUGCCA